This 715-nucleotide long non-coding RNA is filed under the name Marmota monax (woodchuck). Lineage: Eukaryota; Metazoa; Chordata; Mammalia; Rodentia; Sciuridae. The record is from RNAcentral.
GGGCGAACCUGUAGACGGCCGCCCGAAAAGCCUGACCUGGGGAGUGGACAAGGCUCAGUCCCAGACCUGGUGCAGUCGCCGUGGGGGCGUCAGACGGGUUGCCAGAUGCUGUUCAACCACAGCAUCGGGGUUGAACACUUGCCAUGGGUUUGUCAAAAUUCAGUGAGAUAAUUAAUGGGAAUAGCAGCAUUUUGGGGUGCUUCUUACGCGCCUGGAGAUGCUCAUUACUCACCACAGAAGCCCAUUCAUUCGGUCACUUCGGACCUCGUGUUGUCAGAACUGCAAGGCGCAGCAGAUGAACGCCCACCCCUUGAUUACUAAAACUGUCGAGGCCACUGACCUUCUGAACGCUUAAGAAGGGAGGUUGGUUGGUGGGAACAUGAAAGAGGAGACAGACCUAAAAUAAUUAACUGCAAAACACAUUACUUAAUUACAGCUUGAGUGCUUAUAGCAAGAAGAUUCCUGCGGCAAGAUGAAGAUGGGGGAGAGGAGGAAAGGAAAAUACUACCUGAGGAAGUAAUGUUUCAAGUAAAACCCCAGAGAUGAAGCUGACACAUCAGUUAAUGAUCUAGGCUUAGGGGAUAGCAUAUAUCAAGGAGAAUUUGAGCUGGAAAGAGUAUUUCGUAAACACCAAUAGUUCAACUUUACUUUUUAUCCGCUUCCUCUCUCUUUCUCCCCUCCCCUUAGUAGGAGGAACUCCUUUCCAUGAAAAUAG